UCGUGAUCCGCCUGCCUUGGCCUCCCAAAGUGCUGGGAUUACAGGCAUGAGCCACCGCGCCCAGCAGGAAAGAAGCUUUCAAUUGCUGUCGGACUGAGCUAGACCCCUCGGCCAGGGAAUGAGGGGACUCCAUGGAGGUGUCGCGAGGUAUGCUGCUCAGCUGGACGUGCAGGGCCUCUGGCCCCUGAGACUGCCCUGGGGCCAGGGCAGCAGCUAUGGCCAUAUGUGCACCUACAGCCAUUGGGGUGGAGGUGGAUGACUGCUAUAGUAAAAGAAAAGAUAGGUGCCAUUACGGUCCCAAAAAAAAGAAGGAAAAUGCCAUAGAAAAGGCUGGUUUGGACCAAGGCUGACAUUCCCAAACCCCGAGAGCGAAGAAGGGACCACAGUUUCCUCUACCCUCAGAAGAAGUCCAAGGACAAGAAGGCUCAGAAACAAAAGGAAAAGAGAUUUUUUGGUCCACAUUUUACUCACCCCUCCUCAUAUGCCCGUAUGGACCACCAAAAUGAUGCAAGAUUUUUUGCUCCUUCAGCUAAAAAUCUGGGUUCUUGUCUCACAACCAAGAAAAAUUAGGCAUACAGACACAUGGAAGGGUGAGGAGGACAGAUUUAUUAGGCAAAAAGAAUGCUCUCAGAAAAGAAAGAGGGGGUCCUGCCAACAUGCACCCACAUCACAGAUUGAAUACCAGGCCACCACACAUGAGCUGAAGAGGCCUGACUCCUCCCCCUGCAUAAGGCAUGAAUUCCUGGUGGCUUUACCCCAUUCUCCCAGUGCUCAUGCAGACCCCCAGUCUGUUGCAGGCAUGCCCAGGCAAAACCCUGUGCAGGUUCCCUUUUCUGCCUCCUGCAUCUAUCAAUUACUGCUCAAUGUUUGCCUUUUUUGAAGCCAUUCGAACAGUUGUCUACAUUUGAUUGUCCAAAACUCAGUAAUUGUCACGUGUAGGCUAUGGUGUGUUUACACCUCUACUUGUUGUAUUUCACGAUGUACAGAGAUACCUUUAGGUCAAACUUAAAAUAUGUAAGGAGGCAGCUUUAGACUAAACUUGAUUUAAUGUUAUGCAGCACCCAGGUGUAUUUUUGUGGAAGGGUCGUGUAGAUAAUCGACCAUUCUACUGGGGAAGGAAGUUUUUUACUUUAUUUCUAACAAUACAGUAUUACUUAACUCACCAAAACUCAUUAGUGACCAGGCAUAGUGGCUCACACCUGUAAUUCCAGUUCUUUGGGAGGCUCAGGUGGGCAAAUGGCUUGAGCUUAGGAAUUCAAGAUCAGCUUGGGCAACAUGGUGAAACCCUGUCUGUACAAAAAAAAAAAAAAAUAGCUGGGCAUGGUGGCAUAUACCUGUAGUCCCAGCUAUCUGGGAGGCUGCAGUUGGAGGAUCACUUGAGCCUGGGAGCCGGAGGUUGCAGUGAGCUGAGGUCAUGCCACUGCACUCCAGCCUGGGCGACAAGAGUGAGACUCUGUCUCAAAAAGAAAACAAAACAAACAAACAAAAAAAGCCUUAGUAGUAAUUUAUGUUUCUUAAUUAUAUAUUUUUUCAUCUUUAUUGCUUUGAAUUUUGUUUUGAUGUUAAUGAUAGGACCACUGCAACCUUUCUUUACAUUUGCCUGAUACAUUGUUGCCUGUUCUUUCAUUUUCACUUUUCUAUGUGUGUGUGCGUGCAUAUACUUUUAGAUGCAUUUUAUAAUUGGCGUAACAUUGGAUUUUAUUAUUGACCCAAUCUUUGUCUUAAAAAGUUUAACUGUUUUUACUGAUAUAAUCAAUUAAUUAUUUCUUAAUUUUUCUACUUAUUUUAUUCAUUUUAUGUCAUCAAUUUUUUGUUUUACUGCUUUUCCCUUUAUUUUCUACCUUUUGCUAUAUGGAAUAUUUUAGUGCCCUCUGUUGUUUUGGCAGUAAUGCAUUCUAUUAAUAAUUAGCUUUAAUCUUUUCAAAGGUGUUCUUUAAAUUAUGAUUUUUAAAAUAUCAACAUCAAAGUUGUAAUAGUCCCUUUUUAUCACUUCCUAAUCAAUAUAAGGAAUUGAAGAGACUAGGCCUAUAAGUGGACCAGAGACCUAGUCGUAUUAGGUAUCCUUACCUCCCAGAGAUAGAAACGACUGACCUUUGACUCAAACUGGCCUGCUGUAUUUUUUUCAGAAAUGUAUCUGCUGUUUUGAGUCUGAUUUGUACUAGUUUAUAAGCUGAUAGUAGAGAUGGAUAUAAACAUUUUCACGGCAAGAUGCUUUGGUACCCUGACAGUUGAUUUAUAUAUUGUAGAGGGCAGCCUUGUACAGUACAUUUGGGAAUGUCACAACCACAUAAAGAUAUCUCUACCUCCCUUCUCUUUUCUCUUCCACAGACACAUAUAUUAAGGGCCCAAAUCAAGUUCUUAGAACAAUGGUUUUCAACUGUGGCUGCACAUCAUUGUAGCCUGUUGAGCUUUUAAACAUCCCAGUGACCAAACUGCACUCCAGACUAAUUAAAUUAGAAUAUCUGGGGAUGGGACCCAGAUACAUGCAGUUUUUUAGAGCUUCAAUAUUAAUUGAUUUUAAUAUGAAUCCAAGGAAGAGAACUACUGAUCUAGUGCAGAAGUCAUUAAACUAGGGUGAAAUCUGAUUCACUGCCUAUAUAUGGAAAUAGAGUUUUAUAGGAACACAACAUGUAUAUUUAUUAUUGUCUAUGGCUGUUUUCAUGCUACAAUGGAAGAAUUUAGUAAUUGUGAAAGAACCAAUUUUGCCUACAAAACCUAAAAUAUUUACCUUUUAUGGAACAUACUUGCCAACCCCAGUGUAGAGAGACUCAACGGGAUUUUUACUAUAACUCUGCAGUUUCAUUAUUAGCCAGAUGUCUUCAAGGGAAUUUUAAGGCCUGGAGUCUUGGCUUUCUGCUAAGAGAAUGCCACUACUUCUCCUGCUUUGAAAAGCUAUCUUCAUAAAGUUAAGUUUUUGUUUAUUCUAACAAACGAAAGCAAGUUUGUAUCCUUGCCUAUACUUGUUGGUGUGUAUAUCAAUUGCUAUCAUCCUUUAAUUUUUCCAAUCCAUUUUUCUACCUUUUCUGAUUUGUGAAGUUUGAACCCAUAUUAUUACUGACUUUACAGUUAAAUACUAUUAGUUAUAUAUAUUGCUUCUCUUUAAACAAUGAAUUUGACAUUUGUAUUUAAUACUUUGAUUUGCAAAACUUCUUUGACACAAUUAUAUAUGUGACUGGGUUUUGGCAUUUACCACUAUGUCACAACUUCCCUAUUCUUUUUUUUCAACUUUUAUUUUAGGUUUAGUGGGUACAUGUGCAGGUUUGUUACAUGGGUAAAUUUCAUGUCACUUGGGUUUGGUGUUUAAAUGAUUUAGUCAUUAGUCAUUUACGCCCAGAUAGUGAGCUCAGUACCUGACAGUUUUUUGACCCUCACCGUCCUCCUAACCUCCACCCUCAAGUAGGCCUCAGUUUCUAUUGUUCCCCUCUUUGUGUCCAUGUGUACUCAAUAUGACUUUCCUAUUGAACCCUUUAUUUUCUUCUUAAUUCAUUCAGGUGGAAUAUGUCUUCAGUACCUUUCUCAAGAAUUGUAUAUAUUUUCAUUUCUUCCUCUCAGCCCCAAUUAUCUUUCUUUUGUGUUAACAUAAGAAAGCUAACACAUUGAUGGAUAAUUUGAGUUUUCCCCUUUUGUAAGUAAUUUGCCUGAAAACUUCUUUGUUUGUCUUAUGUGUGUAUUUUUUUGUUGUUGAUAAUUCUGUUUUCUAUGAAUAUACCUGUUUCUGCCCUCCCUGGGAUGUAGGAAAUGCUUUCAGUUUGAUAUUUCUGUCAUCCCAACUGCCAUAAUAAAGCUCUUCUUUCUUUUUCUGGUUGUGCUCAUUGGGUUAAUUUCUGGUAGGAACUGUGCAUGGCUAAGAACUCUAUUACAGAUGUGAAUCUAAAAAACGUAUCCAGGAGGAUAGUGAAUGAUGACAGAAAACCCACUGCAGCAAACACUACCAAAGAGGAAGACUAGCACCUCUUUCAGGAGUGUAAAGCAAUAAUGUACUCUUCCAUGAAAUAGUUCACAUUUUUACCCAUUUUAAACAUCAUAUAGAUUUUUUUCUUCUUUUAUAUUCCUCUAAUUUCAUAUACCUCUACGCUUUAUGUUUAUCUGGAAGACUCUUAUCCAUAUUUUCUUCAUCCACCUUUAUAGCAUUACAUCAGUGGUUCUCUACCAUGGCUGCACAUUAGAAUCUCCUGAGGAGCCUUUGAAUACAUAUUUAUUAUAUGCAGCCCCAAUCCCACAUAGUUGGACUUGGUUAUUCUGGGAUGAGUCAUAGUAAGUAUUGAUUGGUAUUUGUCAAAAGUUUGCCAAGUGAAAUUAGCUGGGUGUUGUGGCCGGCGCCUGUAGUCCCCGCUACUCCAGAGGCUGAGGCAGGAGAAUGGUGUGAACCUGGGAUGCGGAGCUUGCAGUGAGCCGAGAUUGCGCCACUGCACUCCAGCCUGGGCGACAGAGCGAGACUCCAUCUCCAAAAAAAAAAACUUUGCCAAGUGAUUGGUUCUAAGGGGAGCCAAGAUUUAGGACUACUCUCUGCUUUUUAUGAUAAUUAACUGUCAUUUCUCCUUAGACUUUUCAAUUUAUGUCUAACAUCAACAUGCUUGUCCCCAUUAUAUUUCUUUCUUAUGGAUUCCUUUCUUAUGGAUUUUUUUCUCUAAUUCUUGUAACAAAAUUGUUGUUCCAGGAAAGUAUACCUAGUUAAUUUGGGUCUUUAUAGCCUCUGGCACCCUGCUGUUUAUGUGCCUUAGCUUAAGGAGCACUUCUUUAUUUGAUUAUGGCUUAACUUGAUUUUCAGGAAAGAGUACUGGACUCAAAGUCAAAAUCUGUACAUUUUUUUUCCUGAUUUAAUCACUCGUUAACCUUGCAACCUGGAGAAUUCACUUCACCCCAGAGCCUCCAUUUUCAUAACCUCCCUUUUAUCAGUAAAACCAUUGUUUUACUACUUAUCCUAAAGAUUUACUACUAAAAUGGGGCCAUAGGUACAAAAGUUUCUUGAACAGUUUAACAUAUUACACACAUUAUUACUGCUAGAUAGGUAUAGGGGUAAUUAUGAAUGACUUUUGACGUAUGUGAACAAGUGAAUUCAUUGGUUAAGCUUUUUUCAUAUCCUUCGUUUGCCGCUUUUUCUGUUUGACAAAGAAGAAUCUUGGGUGUUAUAUAACUGUGCUGCAACAUAAAUUCAGUUACCUCUCUUUCUUUUCUCCACCUUUAAAAAUUAUUGAGAGUUUUUCACACAACAGAUGGAAUAUAGGCAAGAAAAAUAAAGUCUAUGGUUUUCAAUGGAACUGGAAGUAGGAGGUUUUGUUUUUGUUUUUGUUUUUGACAGGCUCAUAAAAGCCACUGUCUAAACUGGGUAAAUCUUGGGUCUUUUGGCUUCCUAUACUGUACUUGUAAUUUCACAUUUUUAUUUGCAUUGUCACAUUAAAGAUAUUUCAGAUAAGAUACAGCUAUGGGUUUUAGGAAACUGGAGCAGUGUCACAAUUUCUAAAUAAUAAUUUUUUUAACUGACCUUAAAACAUUUAACUUGAAAAUUACAGGAAAUGCAUUUAUAGUUGACAUUGAUGAUGACUUACACUAAUUUUUCUGGAAAGAAAUGUUUGUAUUAAGCAGUUGAAAACAUAAUUAUAAUGGUUAUUGCACAAAGCCCAGCUUUAUAGGGUCUUAAAGAACAAAUACCACAAAUAGUUUUAGAUCAUGAUUAGAUUAAAAAUCACUGGUUUUAUUUCAUUUUUUUUUUUUGGCUACAGGAUAAAGAAAAGAUCUUAUCAGAAUAAAUUUCUCACCUGCCUUGGGCAGGAGUCAUUAGAUGUAAGCAAAUUUAAUGGAGCCUGUGUGCUCUGGGGCCAUUCAGCUGUGCUUCAAUAAUUGCAUUUUUUUUUUUUUUCAGUAUGAAGGUUGUUUAACAUAUCAAGUGGCAAAAAAAAAGUUAAAGUACAAGUUGCCUAUUUAUCUUUCAGACUGGAUUUCGGUCUUCUAUCCACAAUCUUCUAGGAUCCAGCUUCUGUUCAAUCAGUGUUUUGAUUUUGCAACUCUAACUCGUAAAUAUUACACACCAAAGUAACAGCUAAGAUAAAACAGCGUUAACAAAAUAUUAUUCAUAUUAGGAACAGAUUUUUUCAUUACAGAUAUCCUUUCAAUAUUGAAUUCUGUUUGAUAUUUAAAAUGUAAUUUAAUUCCCUUAUAUAGUUUUUCAGAGACACAUCUCUUUAGGAAAGAUACCAUAUUCUGUAUAUCUAUAAAAAUGUGUGUAUGUAAGGGUGGUAAGAUAAAACAAAUGACUUAAUAAUUAACCCAUAAUUACUUAAACAAAUGGACCUAAUAUGAAGUUGAUAGUAGGUCAGUAUCAACAUGGGAAAAGGACCCUACUGACGUAUUAUAUCAUUAUUUCUUUAUUCAACACUUUUCACUCUUUUAAACAGCUAUUUGAAUGAGCACUUGAAGGGCAUGCUGAUGAAAUUUGCAAGUGACACAGUUGUUAUUGAAAUAGCUAAUACUUUGAAUAAUAGAAUCAGAAUUCAGAUUCAUAUUAAAUGAUUGGAAUUAGGGACUAAAAAUGACGAGGUAAAACAAAAUAGAGGUAAAUAUAAACAGUUCUGAAUUUCAGUCCCUAAAACCAACAUUGUAAAAUCAAAUGGGAGAGAUAUUGCUAAACAAUAGCACUGAAGAGAAAAGUCAUAGAGGUUUUAUGACAGUAUGCUUAAUAUGUGUCUGUGGUACAUUGUGGCUGCCAAAGCAGCUAAGGAGAUCUAAGGGGUUCUAUUAACAGAGUUAAUGUGGAACAUUGUGUUUUGUUAUAGGUACCUUUAUUUAAGAAGGUUGUGGCUGUAGUAAUUUAAGGAAAAGGCAGUAUUCUGUAAACAAUUGGAUCUCAAUUCUGUGCAAAAGUCAUUCAUAGAAAAAAUCCUGAAAACUAAAAUGAUAAUGUAUUAGCAACAUAUCUUCAGAAAUUUUAUAAUAUGAAAAACUUAAAUUUUCUUUUUUAUGUUUUUCUAUAUUUCCUACAAUUAACAGAAAUUGCUUUUUGUAAAAGGGAAAGAUUGCAUAAAAGUGGGACACAGAAACAAAUGUAAUUCGGUGAGUAGAGAGUGACCAGAACAAUGAAAGGACAAGCAAGUGGUACCAUAUGAGGGCUAUUUAAAGGAGCUAUAUAUUUAGCCUGAAGUAAAGGCAGCAGGUUACUGGGCCAACGAGAAUGAGGAUUUUUAUAGCAAUUCACAAUGUUUGAAAGUCCACUGGUACUUUCUUUGGCUUCAGAGGACAAUUCAAAGAGCAAGUGGAAGUUAUACAGUGAAACAGGUCUUAGCGUGUGUGGCAUAGAAACUUUCUAACAUUUGGAGCUCCCAAAUUGUGACCCAGGAGAUUGCCCCAGGCCCAUGGGUAGAUUUCUUCAAGAUUCUACUGCAUGUCCCUUGUUUUUUUCCUGUAUAAUACUGCUUCUUUGACAGAAGAGUUAAUUGGAGUGUGUAGAACUGUUUUAGCUGUAGACUAAGUUUGCUUUUUGGAGAGAAAUUCCAUUCUUCCUUGAUGGCUUCUGGCUCCACCCUUAAAGGAUGAAGAUUUGCCUCCAUUAGAUAAUUUCAAAACAAUAUGCAACUGGCUCUGAAGACAGUUUUAUAGAAAAAUUUUUAGAAGUAGUUUGAUCCAGGGCAUCAAACUAUUGGAUAAGCUAUAUACUAUUGGAUAAGCAUAUAGUAUUCAAAGGUGACAACUUCAAAGGAGACAGCCCUCAUUUAAAUACAUAAAAAAACUGUCUUAUUACUUUAUCACUUGUUAGUUUUCAUUAAAAUUUGAUGCUUACACAGACACAGUGAUGAGAAAAUUAAACUCGUGUGGCUUUCCGAUUCUAUUUGAUACAUAAAAAUCUUGCUGCAUGCUUAUUAUGCCAUUGCCUCCUGGUCUACUUUCCUUCUUGGUUUGGGAGCUCAUCUUCCCUUCCAUAUUCUUAGGCUGCCUCUUGUCUGCAGUGAAAUUCCUUUUUUGUGUAUUUUUUCUUUUUUUUAAUUUGAAGGUGAUCUAUGCUUCUGGAAGAGGUAACCCCAUUGUAGGGAAGAAAAGAAAGAGAAAUUGUCCCUGAAACUUUGUUUUCAUUACUUAGCAAGUUUUACAGUUAAUGACAGAAGUUUCUCCUGUGGCCUUUCCUUCCAAAGACUGUGCUUAUUUAUUUUCCCCAAUACUCUCAUGUGACCUUGUUUAAAGCUUCAUGUAAUUCCCAAAUAAAUUACAUUUACUGGUUUACUUCUAUCUAGUAUUUUAUUGACAUUUCCAGAUAAGUUUAAUAGGAUGGAGAGAAACAGUGUUCUCUUUAUAGACUCAGUGGGCAAUUUGACCUUAGCAGGUUAACCUUAUCCUGAUGUUGAAGGAAGCUAUUCUUAAUUAGACUCUAUCAGUUUCUCCAUUAUCACCAAGAGAGCCUCUGGUCUGUAAUUCCAUAAAAUCUUAAUUCGAUUAUUUUUCUUUCUGAAAGAAAAGCUUCAUAUUAGCAAAAUCGCAAUAUUUGGAAAUACUUGCUUGUUUUCCAAAUACAUUGCAUAUCCUCAUCUGUAGCUCAGCCAUUUCACACUUUAUUUCCUUCAGAAACUCUCAGUUGAAUACCAUCUGGCCAUGGUGAUUUAUUGCUGUGGAAUUUCUCAAGUUGCUCUAUUAUUUCCUCCUAGGAGAUUGCUCUCUACUACUACCCCACUGUUUUUCUCAGAAAGUGCCCUUGGAAUAGUCGUUUCCUCACUCUCCUGUACAGCAGAGGUCAAUGCAAAAUAAAACUAAACUAAACUUCUCUGCUUCUUACAUCCUCUAAACCUCACAUCCUCUUUACUUGCUGUCCUCAUUACCAGAGGAGAAACUCAGCCGUUAGUCCUACCACUCAUGGUGUCUAUUUAGUCCUUGUGUUUCCUUUUGUCUUUUUUUUUAUCUUUUUUUUUUUUUAGAUUCUUUCUUCCCCUGACAGUACAUUUUUGGUAUUUAAUUCAGGGGGAAAAAUGUCAUGUUAUAAGAUGUUUUAGAUAUUUUCAACGUGUUCAUAAAUGUCUCUAUGGAAUUGUUUCAAGGUUGUUUUUUUUUUUUUAAACCAUCCACAAAUUUCUCUUUUGACCUUUCAGAUAAUGUCACAGUAUAUAUAUCUCUCAUGGCCAGUGUCCUUAUAUGUCUUCCUAGAAACCUGGAUGGUUCUUUAAACUUUUUACUUUUCUCUCAGAGGGCUGCUAACCAGAUUUUUUCUUCAGAUUUUUAACAUAUACUUUUUGAAGUCUCACCUUUUGGGUUAACAUUAAGAGAUGCCCAUACCAAUUAGAACAUGAGCUUGAAUUGUGCAGCCUUCCCAAUUUCUGAGUUCUACUCCUACACAUACUAACCUGUGGUAAUUCCUAUAUUUUACAUUAAUCUUAUUCCUCUUUCAUACCUGCCCCAAUAAGCCAAGAUAAGGUAUGUUAAUUAAUGCUUCUACACAUCGUGUUCUUCUGUCAUUUAUUUGGCUAAUAAUGGACAUAAUUAAAAUCAUUCAUUGCAAUAACCUUCUUAGAAAAGAAUGCUGAACAGUAAAGGUUAAAAGCAAUUUGUAUUAUUCUUUUAUAUUCUAUAGUUAACAUUUUUACACCUGAACUUUGUUCAAAUAAUUAUUUUGUUUAAAAAAGGUUACUUAAUGUGCUUUCAAGUAGAGUUAAUUGUGAUUUGAAUAUAUUUCUACCUUUAUGCAAAGUACCUUAGCAGAGAAUUUUUGAAUUUUAUAACUGAAGUAUUGAAACAUCGAAAGUUGAAACUUUCAAAACUCCCAACAUGUGUUGUAAAUUAUCUACCAUUUUCAACUUAAGAAAAAAAAAGAGUUAAAUACAAAUUUCGAGUACUGUAUGUGUGAUACAGUCUUUCCUUAAGUUUCAAAUACAAAUACCAGUAGUCACACAGCCACCUGAAGAGAGUCUCUAUUUGCUCAGUUUAUAAAGGGGAGUAACAGAUUAUAACAGCAGGGGAAGGAAAUGCUGGUUUUGCUUAUUUUAUUGCUAGCAUAUCAUUUUCUUCACUGGGUAAGGCAGGCUGUCCUAAAAGUAACUUAGGCAUAUAACUUUUUGGUGCUGGUUAUAUGGAUAGGAUAUAUAUGGAUAUAUGAGAUAUAUAUAUAUAUAUAUAUGUCAUGUCAUAUAUAUAUAUAUGAUAUACAUGGAAAGGAUGUCUUUCUUGAAUUUUGGAAUAGAUUGAGUCUAUCCAUCCCAAAGCUACUUUGUACACACACCCAUACACACACACACCCAUACACACACACACAUACACACACACUUCCAUAUAUAUCUUAUAUAUGGAUAUGUAUGUACAUUAGAUAUGUAUAUAGGUAUGUUUUAUACAUAUAUAUUACCUGCCAAGAAAUAUGCACUAUAUCGUAAUUCUAAAAUUUGUCUUUCUACCUGUAUCUCAACCAAUGGCUCCAAUUUCUUCUGAUCUUUAAAAAAUAUGUUAAUUGUAAUAUUUACAAAUAAAUAGGAAAAGAUUCUAUUUUAAUGAAUGCUAGUAUGAAAGUUAACCCUCUGUAGUAAAACAUAUGGCUCUGUCAGGCAACUUACACUAUAAUAGCUUUCAUGAUAAUAUGUAACAGUUAAUUAAAAACUCCUUCUGAAAAGGUAAACCAGCAAGUGUUUUUCUGUUUCUCUAUGUAGUAGUCAGAUUAUUUAAUGGCUGUACUGUCCAGGAGGAUAUUUGUACCUUAAUACAAAUACCAUUUCUUACUUGGCAUGAUUGGAAAGUGAGACAUACUAUCUUAGCUGAGAGCCCAACAUUUAUGUAUUAAAACUUCUUGGAGCAAGGGUAUGUUAUAACAUUUGCAGGGCUUGUCCUCCAGUGAAUUGUCUUAUAGAAAAUACUACUUGUAUUGGUUGCUGUCUCAACUAUAUGUGAGUACAUUUGCAGAAAUGUACGUAGGUCACAUUCAGUUUAAUUUUACAUGAGAACCAGAUAAGGAAUUCUAUCUCACAACACAGGGUCUGAAGGAGGCUGUAAUCAGGGUUCUCCAAAGUUUCCUGUACUUUCUUUUCUAGCAAGUUAUUCUUGUACUGGAGAAGUCAAAGGACAGCUUUUUCUAUUAAUUUGAUUCCAUCUUCACUCAAGCAGGAUUAAGUUCAAGUCCUAGGUAUAUUCAUAGUAUUCUUUCCCAGUUUUUCAGUCCUGAUAUAUUCUUCUCCUUUAUUCAGUAAUCUUUUCAGUGGUGUUUUCAAUUGGGAAGAGAAGAAAAGGAAAGAAUUAGAUGCCAGUGCUUAUAUAACCAUCUUGCCCAGAAGUAUUAUUGAAGGAUUUUGAAAUAGAAAAUUAUCAGAUUACAGUACAAGGCAAGGAUGCCCACUCUUGCCACUUAUAUUAAACAUUGUACUAGAAAUCCUAGCCAGAGAAAUUAAGCAAGAAAAAGAAAUAAAAGACAUUCAAAUUAGAAAGAAGAAAGCAAAAUUAUUUCUACUUACAGAUAAUAUCAUACAUAUUGAAAAGACUUGACAAAAAAAAAAAUCCUGUUAGAACUAAUACAUAAAUUCAGUAAAGUUGCAGAAUAUAAAAUCAGCAUACAACAAUCAGUAGCAUUUCUAUAUGCAAAUAACAAACUAUCUGAAAAGGAAAUCAAGAAAACAGUCACAUUCACAAUAGCGACAAGAAGAAUAAAAUAAUUAGGAAUAAUCUUAACCAAGAAGUGAAAGUCUUGCACACUGAAAAUUGUAAAAUAUUGCUGAAGGAAAUUUAAAAAGUCAAACAUUAAUGGAAAUACAGCCAUAUUCUUGGAUUGAAAUAAUUAAUAUGUUAAAAUGUUCAUAUUACCCCAAGUGAUCUACAGAUUCAAUGUAAUCCUUAUCAAAUUCUCAAUGGCAUUCUUUAUAAAAAUAGAAAAAAAAAUCCCAAAAUUCAUAUGGAACCACAAAAGACCACAAGUAGCCAAAUUAAUCUUUAGGAAGAAGAACAAAGGAAUCAGUUUCUGAUUUCUAAACAUAUUAUAAAGCUAGGGUAAUGAAAACAGAAUGGCACUGGCAUAAAAACAAGUAUAGAGACCAAUGGAAUAGAAUAGAGAGCCUAGAAAUAAAUGUACACAUCUAUGGUCAACUGAUCUUCCACAGGGGUGCCAAAACAUACAAUGGGAAUGGAUAGUCUUUUCAAUAAAUGGUGCCAGGAAAAUUAUCCAUAUCUACAUGUGGAAGAAGUGGACCCUUAUCUCACACCAUAUACAACUCAAAAUAGAUUUAAAACCCUUAUCUCACACCAUAUUCAACUCAAAAUGGAUUUAAAACUUUAAUGCAAGACCCAAAAAUGUAAAACUCCUUGAAGAAAACAAAGGAAAAAAUCUUGUCAUUGGACUGGACAAUGAUUUUUUUUUAUAUGACACCAAAAACACAGGCAAGAAAAGCUAAAAUAGACAUAUAGGAUUGCAUCAAACUAAAAAGCUUCUGCACAGCAAAGGAAAGAGCAGAGUGAAAAGGCAACCUGGGGAGUGAAAAACAAUAUUUACAAAUCCUAUAUAUGUUAAGGAGUUAACAUUUAAAAUAUAUAAGGAACUCAUGCAACUUCAUAGCAAAAAGACAAAUAACUUUGUUUUAAAAAGGGCAAAGGACUUGAAUGGACAUUUCUCCAAAUGAGACAUACAAAUGACAAACAGGUAUAAGAAAAAGUACUAAAUUUCACUAAUCAUCAGGGAAAUGCCAAUCAAAACCACAAUGAGGUAUCACGUCACACCUGUUAGAAUGAGUAUCAGAAAAGUGAAAGAUAAGUGUUGGAGAAAAGGGAACCCUUGUAUACUGUUGGUGGGAAUGUAAAUUGGUACAGCCAUUAUGGAAAACAGUAUGGAGAUUCCUCAAAAUUUUUAAAAUGUAACUACUGUAUGAUCCGGCAAUCACACUUCUGAGUAUAUACCCAAAGGAAAUUAAAUCAAUAUCUCCAAGAGAUAUCUGCACUCACAUGUUUAUUUUAGCAUUAUUCACAAUCACUAAGAUAUGAAAACAGCCUAAGUGUAUAUCAAUAGAUGAAUGUCUAAAGAAAAUGUGGUAUAUUUAUACAAUGAAGUAUUAUUCAACCUUUAAAAAGGAAAUCUAACCAUUUUCAACAACACGGAUGAACCUGGAGGACCUUAUACUAUGUAAAAUAAACCAGAUACAGAAAGACAAAUACUGCAUCGUAUCACUUAUAUGUGUGAUCUAAAAAUGUCAAACUUAAGAAAUAAAGAAUAGAAUGGUAGUUACCAGAGGAUGGAGAGGAGGAUUUGGGAAGAUGUUGAUUAAGGGGUACAGAGUUAGUUAUGCAAGAUAAACAAGUUCUGGAGAUCUAAUGUACAACAGUGUGUCUAUAGUUAACAACACUGUGUUGUAUACUUGAAAUUUGCUAAGAGGAUAGAUCUUAAGUGUUCUCACAACACACACACAAAUGGUAACUGUGUGAGGAGAUGGGUAUGUUAAUUUGCUUGAUUGUGGUGAAUAUUUUACAGUGUUUGCAUAUAUAAAGUCAUCAAGUUAUACACCUUAAAUAUGUACAAUUUUUAAUUCUCAACUAUAUCUCAAUAAAGCUAAUGGGGAAAGAAAAUGACCAGACCAGAUUUGCAUUUUGAACAUUUCAUUAUUACUAUGAGUUCAUUAGAAUCUGGUAUUCCUCAAGGUUUUUUCCUGUAUCUUCUCUUCUCAUUUCAUCUAUUCUUCUUGAGAUUUCACUUCAUGGCUUCUGUUUCUAUAUACCAAAAUCUAAUUAGAUAACUCUUCUCUGAUGAUUCAUGGGAAACUUAAAUACAUGUCAAUUUUAACACAAUUAAUAUUGAAUUCACCCUUUAUUGUCCUUCCCAAACCUUCAUCUAUUUGGUUUAUAUAUAUAUAUAUUUGAAGGAAUAACACUUGGUGCCACCAUCUUUUAAUUUGCUCAAAGCCAAAAACCUGAGACUCAUUAUUCCCUUUUCUGUCUCCUGUAUUCCCCACAUCCAAUUCACCGGUAUUAUAUAUCUUACCUACCAUAUGCUGCUCUAAAAUCUGUUCUCUUCUAUACUAAUGCUUUGUCUAUUACAUCCUCUCUCAUCUAGUCUAUUGCAGCACCUUGUUUAUUUGCCUUCUUACCUUCAGUCUUAUUUUCUACCAAGGAACUUGACUGAAGCUGGAAUGAUCUUUUCAGAAGUCAAAUUGGAUCAUAUCAUUGUUUUGUUUGAAUUUCUCAGUGUUCUUUGUGACCUUACUUUCAAGCAUAAACUCCUUAAAAUGAAACAGAAGGCUAUAUAGGACCUGGCUUUUGUCUACAUUUUUAGCUUCAACUCUUCCACCUUCAGACACUCUCUACUCGAGCUUCUUUCAGUUUCCAGUACUCAUCAUCUUGAAAACUGAUAAGAAAGAUUAGGAAAAUGUUUCAGGAAUAAAUAUUUCAAAUCCCUUCUUUUAAAAAAAUUCUCUGUGUUCCACACAUCUUUCACUUAUUAUUUGUUCUGUACACCCCAAAAACUUUACAGUAAUUUUUAAUGUACAAAAAAGGGGUAUUUGAGCUAUCACCAGCAGUUAUUAUCAUUAACUGCAUAACUAUACUUAAUAUUUUUUAUUGAUCAUUUAUUUCAUGUAUGCCAUUGAUCUUAAAAGUGAAUCUAUAAAAUAUCUAAGUCUACUUUGUGUUACACAGAAGUAAAAUAUCAGCUCAUAGAUUUUAGAAUAUUUCUGGCCUUGUAAAAUUAGUUUAGAAGUAUUCCCUCUUCUUCAAUGUUAGUUUUCUUGAAAGAGUUUGAGAAACAUUGCUAUUAGCUCUUUAAAUUUUUGGUAGAAUUCAGCCAUGAAGUUAUCUGAUCCUGGGCAUUUGUUUGAUGGGAGACUUUUAAUGACUGAUUCAAUCUCAAUAGUUAUUCUUGGUCUGUUCAGAUUUCCAGCUUCUUUGUGAUUCAGUCUUGGUAGGUUAUAGGUUUCUAGGAAUGUAUCCAUUUUGUCUAGAUUGCCCAAUUUGUUGUUAAAUACAGUUUAACUGUAUUUAACUGUUGUUAAUAAUACAGUUGUUUAUAAGUAGUGUCUUAUGAUCCUUUGUAUUUCCGUGUUACCGGUUAUAAUGUCUCCCCUUCCAUUUCUGAUUUUAUUUAUUUGAGUCCUGCCCCUGUUUUUCUUAGUCUAGCUAAGGGUUUGUCCCUUUUAUUUAGCUUUUCAAAACAGCUCAGUUUUAGGCCAGGCACAGUGGCUCACGCUGUAAUCCCAGCACUUUGGGAGGCUGAGGCUGGCAGAUCACAAGGUUAGGAGUUCGCGACCAGCCUGGCCAAUACGGUGAAACCCCGUCUCUAUUAAAAAAUACAAAAAUUAGCCAGGCAUGGUGACACAUGCCUGUAGUCCUGGCUACUCAGGAUGCUGAGGCAGGAGAAUGCUUGAUCCCAGGAGGCGGAGGUUGCAGUGGGCUGAGGUCGUGCCACUGCACUCCAGCCCGGGCAACAGAGCGAGACUGUCUAAAAAAUAAAAUAAUUAAAAUAAAAUAAAAUAAAACUCUGUUUUAUUGAUUUUUGCAUUGUUUUGCCAGGCUCAAUUUUAUUUAUUUAUGCCCUAAUCUUUGUUAUGUCCUUUAUUCUGCUAUCUUUGGGCUUGUCUUCUUUUUCUAAUCCUUUGAGCUAUAAUGUUAGGUUGUUUAUUUGAGAUCCUUCUUCCUUUUUGAUGUAGGCAUUUAUUGCUACAAACUUCCCUCUUAGAACUGCUUUUGCUGCAUCCCAUAAAUUUUGGGAUAUUGUGUUCGCAUUUUUUUUGUCUCAAGAUGUUUUUUAAUUUCUCCUUUAAUUUCUUCUUUGACCCAGUAAGAUAGGGUCAUAUGCUCCUUCAGGAGCAUAUUGUUUAAUUUUCACACACUUCUCAAUUUUCCAUGAUUCUUCCUUUUAUUGAUACCUAGUUUCAUAGCAUUGUGGUUGAAAAAGAUACUUGACAUGAUUUUAACCUUAAAUGUGUUAAGACUUUUUUGUGGCCAAACAUAUGAUCUCUCCUGGAGAAUGUUUCAUGUGCACUUGAGAAGAAUUUCUCUUCUGUUGCUGUCGAAAGGAAUGUUCUGUAAAUAUCUAUUAGGUUCCUUUGGCCUAAAGUAGUUCAAGCCCAAUGUUUCCUUAUUGAUUUUCUGUCUGGAAGUUUUAUCCAAUGUUGAUAGUGGGGUAUUGAAUUUCCUGCUAUUAUUGUGUUGCAGUCUAUGCCUCUUCAGACUUGUUUGCUUUAUGUAUUUAUGUGCUGCAAUGUUGGGUGCAUAUAUAUUUACCAUUGUUUUAUCCUCUUGAUGAAUUGGAUUCUUAAUCACUAUAUUAUAACCUUUAUUGUCCUUUUUACAGUUUUCGACCUAAAACCUAUUCUGUCUAAGGUUAGUAUAGCUAUCUUUGCUCUUUUUGUUUCUAUUUGCAUGGAAUAUCUUUUUUAUUAUUAUUAUUCCUUUAGUCUAUAAGGGUGUUUUAAGGUGAACUGAGUCUCUUGUAGGCAGCAUAUAGUUUGGUGCUCACUUUUUCAUCCAUUCUGCCUCUCUAUAUUUUUGAUUGGAGAAUUUAAAACAUUUACAUUCAAAGCAAAGAAGUCACGUGUUGAGAUAACUCAUAACACAACCUCUAAGAGCUGUAAGCAUUUAAGUCUAACUGUAGAAAUGGAAAAUCUGAAAACUUGAAAUAAGGUCCUUCCUGAGAUAGUCACUUUCAUAUAUGUAAGCUCAUUUUUUUAGAGAUUAUAUGACCAGUCUUCUUAUCUGUUCUUUUAAAUAAAAAUUCUGUCAUUUUAUUUCUAAAAAUAAUUAUAGAAUAAUGGUGUGUUCAGUGGGAGUCUGGGAACAAAUAAAAAUCAUAUUUACCCACAAAACAAUUCGAGUUUUAAAAAUGGUAUCUACUUGUUCUGUUAGCCAGUAAGCCUGGUAGAGAUAGGAAGAGAUUUCAAGAGUGUGUGUGUGUGUGUGUGUGUGUGUGUAUGUGUGUGUGUUUUAGUUUGAAAGGUACAUGAGGUAUUCAGUUCUUGUAUCCAGUGGAUUUAUCAAGAAUUAUAGACAGACUAGAAAUUGCUUCUCAGAGUGAUUAUACCUUUUCUAAUAUCACCUACUGAUUUUACAGUAAAACUCUAGGCUACAAAGGUUGAGAUGAGAACACAAUUCACUUUACUUGACUCUUAAAAAUAGCAUUGUUAACCAUUUUGUGAUGUCUCUCUCUUCAUGUAUUGGGCUGUACUGAAGAGAUAAACCUCCACUUGCUUUCAUGACAUAGAUAAUAAAUUGAUAUAAUUCAGCUGAGAAGUUGAAAAAUGCAUUGAAAAUAAUGGAGCAUAACAUUGUAGGGUUAACAUUUAUUCAUAGAUGAUGCAAUUAAAUAAAACAGGCAUUAACUUCAAGGUCAGUAAGUAAAGUAAUAAAAUUGAAUAUUUUAAUUGAAUUGUAAUUGCUUCCCAUUGAUACAUGCAAGUAAAGUAAAAUAGAUGUCAGCUCUGCAAAUUAUGGUUCUUCCUCCUAAUUAAUUUCUUAAUUCUGCAUGGAGUUAUCAGUGCCUAGGUCUUGUGAGUUUAUUCAUCCACCCAGCUUCCAUCAAGGAAUGUCUGUAUGACAUGAUGAAAUGGCUAGGUGUCAGAGUUUACAGUAAAUUUUUUCUGCACUUUGGCAAAAAUAUUGUUAGUAACUCAAAGUAAUAUAUUCAUGUAUUAGAGUUAAAAUGUACUUUAACAUCAUCAUGGAUCCUAUGGAUUAUAAUCUUCAUUAAUAUUGAUAUUUCUUGAUAUUGAUAUUUAUGUCAACAUUAACUAAUGUAAUUGUCUCAGUGAUUAUAAAGGUUUUUGUAGGGAGAUAUAUACAUAAAGACUCACAUUCCAUAAUUAACUGGCUCAAGCGGUAAAUUGUACUGACCGCUGGGAUUUUGGUGAAGCACAGUUUGUGUCUGUUCACGACCCAAGCUUUACUAGAAAAGAGACACCUAAAUUGAAUAAAUUUAAAAAAGAAAAAUCUUUUCCAAGGACUGAGGUAAAUCGAAGCUUUUAGAUAAAGUUGAAUUGCAUUGAAAAAGCCCAUGAGCUGUUGUGGCUUUUUCAGAGGCUUUUAAUAGCUCCUCCAAAGGUUUUAAUGUAAUGCAGUUUUAUGUAAAAUAAAAUGAGAAUGAUGAUAUUACAAAGAUUAAGAGAGAUUUUUAAAGCAUACUGAAAUUGUAUUGGGUCUAGAUACUAGGGUUUAUUUAAAGAAAAAGAAAAUUGUGCCUUUUGGACCAGCUGCAUUUACCAGUUAAAUGGCUACUGCUUAGAAAUUGAAAAUGGAAUGGAUAUGUAAGAUGGAUUUUAAAUUUACUGAGAUAUUAUUAUAUAUUCAUAUACUUUAAAAUGAUUUUAUAGGAUAGAAUUAUUUCAGUGCAAAUAUAUUGGUAUAUUAGCAUCAUUCUUCAGUUGUGCUUAGAAACGUAAGUGGGUUCUUCUUGUUGGUAAAGUAAAUAGAGAUGUUGUGAUGUCUAGCUUUUGUGUUAAAAUUUAACUCAGACAUUGACUUUUUUUAAAAUGUUUCUCUCUGAACCAUUUAAAACAAAAAUCUAAAGUAAGUCUAUUGAGAAAUAUAUUUUAUUGAUGCUAAUAUGACCCUGACCUUCCAUUCUCAAUUAAGAAGGAUCAUUCAGAAAUCUUUGUGUGUUAUCAUCUAGUUAGAAAAUACUAAAACCAAAAUACAUAAAAUAAAAAACUAAAAUCUUAGAGCUUCAUAAUUAUAGAUAAGCUAACAAUUUUUCACACUAAAAAGAUCUGUUUUUUCAGAUCUUUGUUUUAAAAGUAUUUUAAUAAUUACCUUAUUCCAUUUAGGGAAAUGAAAGUAAAUAUUAUAAGCGCUGUACAUACAAUGCUUAGAUGUUAGUAAAUGAGGAAACUUGUGGAAUAUGUGGAAGUGCAAGAAAAUUAAGUAUUCAAUCUUUAUACUUAUAAAAACAAUUACUAUGAGUUUUGUUUUCAUGUAUUAAUAGUUUGAUAUUUAUGGAAUCAUUGGUAUGCUAAGCAUUAAAGAAUUUCUUGAGGAAACUUCUAUAUCUGAAUAUAUUCUGGAGUAGGAUGAAUAAUCUUCCUACAACAUCCCUAACAUCCCUAAUAUCACCCGGUGCAUAAUAGUUUCAGAUGAUUUAGAAGAGAUCUCAAAGAUCAGGGUGGCUUCAGGCCGUUGCUUUUGCAAGGACGGUAGCUGGAAUUGCUAGGAAUCUCUGGAUUUUAUCCAAGAAAAUAUAUUCUAUGAACAGUCUGCAGUACAUGGCAUAUGGACAGUGAUCAUGAGGUCCCC
Molecule: long non-coding RNA, 19143 nt
Organism: Homo sapiens (human)
Lineage: Eukaryota; Metazoa; Chordata; Mammalia; Primates; Hominidae
Exons: 2
Source: RefSeq, a predicted model, not a curated record